CUCAUCCGCUGUGAAGAUGACACUGUACCGCUCGUCGUCGAGAGCCUGGGCUGCCCAAUCGUCAAGCUCCCCAUUACCUACCUCGGCAUCCCGCUCACCAUUCGAUGCCCCACCACCACGCAGCUGCUACCCCUCGUUGACAGAGUGGCGGGCAGACUGCCCACCUGGAAGGCUUGGCUCAUGAACCGAGCAGGCCGGCUUGCGCUGGUGAAAUCGGUGCUCAGCGCGAUCCCGCUGCACCAGCUGCUUGUGUUGGCGCCCCCAAAGAGGAUCCUCCGCAUGCUUGAGCGUAUCCAGCGUGGCUUCCUUUGGGCCGGGCGCGCCGAGGCCAAGGGAGGCCACUGCCACGUUAACUGGCGUCGUGUCUCGCGCCCCAGGAGCCUCGGCCGGCUGGGCGUGCACGAUCUGGAGCGCACCGGCAUGGCGCUUAGGACCCGUUGGCUCUGGUUCAGCAAAACCGAUGGGCGCCGUGCUUGGGCUGGUCUCGACCUCCAGUUCUCUGCUGAGGAGCAGGCCUUCUUCUUCGCUAGCACCCACACGUCCAUUGGGAACGGUGGAUCAAUGGACGCUCCGUUCGUGAGAUUGCACCCUUGCUGCACGCGUGCAUCCCCAAACGGCGAAGGAAGAAUAGGACGGUCGCUGAGGGCCUGCGGGCCCAUCUCUGGGCGCGCGACAUCCACGGCGUCUUGGGCGUUCACGAGAUCGGCCAGUACUUGUUGCUUUGGCGACUCCUCGAGGGUAUUGCCCUCUCCGCCGAGCCUGACAAGCUGA
RNAcentral lists this ribosomal RNA (771 nucleotides) under Triticum aestivum (bread wheat). Its description in RNAcentral is "partial small subunit ribosomal RNA". The record is from RNAcentral. Lineage: Eukaryota; Viridiplantae; Streptophyta; Magnoliopsida; Poales; Poaceae.